CCGUGAUGGCCAUGAUGGCGGGGAAGCUGAACAAUGUUGUCAUCGAAUAUAGAACUAUUAUAUUGAAUCGAAAAAUGAUCUAAGCUGUGGCCUUAAAGGAGUAGUCUCCUUUGAUAAAGAUCAACAGUGACAAAUAAACAAUGCUGUCUUGUCAUCAACGGUGAAAUUUGAGACUUUUAUACCCAUAUAUCUACCAAUCACCUCUGUCCACUUUGUUUUGUACAUCUGAGACAGGUGUACACGAGAUGCCAGUAUUCACUCCUUUCCACGGACACCUGUUAGGUAACUCAUCACAAUCUAUCGUAUGUAGAGUCUGAAUAUAUCUUCUACUUUGUUAGUUUCAUCGCUUUUCUUAAUCUCUAAAAAUCAAAAGAACUGUCUGUAGAUAUGUACACAAACAACUACACGUAAGACUAACGGCGCGUGGAUCCGUAGAACAAUUCAGCGACUCUAUACAUGCGGGAUUUUCACAAUUAUUAAAUUGCGAUAAAAAUAUCAUUUACCGGGUACGUUAAUGUACCAAAAAAAAGAAUAAUUACAUUGUAAAUAGUUGAAUGGAAUUUUGCAAGUGGAUGUAAGCACAAAAACAGCUCUUUUGAGAUUUAUUUUCAAUCUAAUAUGUGUGAUGUAAAAAAAACUAUAUUAUUUUGCUAUAAGUUUGUAUAAUUGGUCA
Magallana angulata is the source of this 673-nucleotide long non-coding RNA. RefSeq lists it as uncharacterized. NCBI's taxonomy places the organism in Eukaryota, Metazoa, Mollusca, Bivalvia, Ostreida, Ostreidae. The record is from RefSeq and is a predicted model, not a curated record. The transcript has 3 exons.